RNAcentral lists this ribosomal RNA (468 nucleotides) under uncultured bacterium. Its description in RNAcentral is "partial 16S ribosomal RNA". It matches the Rfam family "Bacterial small subunit ribosomal RNA", at positions 28 to 507 of the family's 1533-position model. The record is from RNAcentral.
GACGAACGCUGGCGGCGUGCUUAACACAUGCAAGUCGAACGGAAAGGCCCUGCUUUUGUGGGGUGCUCGAGUGGCGAACGGGUGUGUAACACGUGAGUAUCCUGCCCUUGACUUUGGGAUAACUUCAGGAGACUGCGGCUAAUACCGGAUAGGAGCUCCUGCUGCAUGGUGGUGGUUGGAAAGUUUCGGCGGUGGUGGAUGGACUCGCGGCUUAUCAGCUUGUUGGUGGGGUAGUGGCUUACGAAGGCUUCGACGGAUAGCCGGCCUGGGAGGGUGGCCGGCCACAAUGGGACUGAGAGACGCAGCAGACGCCUACGGGAGGCAGCAGUGGGAAAUAUUGCACAGUGGGGGGGAGCCUGAUGCGGCAACGCUGGGUGCGGGAUGACGGCUUUCGGGUUGUGAACCGCUUUCGCCUGUGACGAAGCGUGAGUGACGGUAAUGGGUAAAGAAGCACCGGCUAACUACGUG